GCUGGGGGUGGCAUACCUGUAGUCCCAGCUUCUUGGGAGGCUGAGGUGGGAGGAUCGCUUGAGCCCAGGAGUUCUGGGCUGUAGUGACUAUGCCGAUCGGGUGUCAGCGCUAAGUUCGGCAUCAAUAUGGUGACCACCUGGGAGCAGAGGACCACCAGGUUGCCUAAGGAGGGGUGAACUGGCCCAGGUCGGAAGCGGAGCAGGUCAAAACUCCCGUGUUGAUCAAUAGUGGGAUCGCGCCUGUGAAUAGCUACUGCACUCCAGCCUGGGCAACAUAGUGAGACCCUAUCUCU
Molecule: signal recognition particle RNA, 293 nt
Filed under: Aotus nancymaae (Ma's night monkey)
Lineage: Eukaryota; Metazoa; Chordata; Mammalia; Primates; Aotidae
Description: Metazoan signal recognition particle RNA (ENSANAG00000014705.1)
Rfam family: Metazoan signal recognition particle RNA
About the family: The signal recognition particle (SRP) is a universally conserved ribonucleoprotein.
Source: RNAcentral